RNAcentral lists this ribosomal RNA (336 nucleotides) under Triticum aestivum (bread wheat). RNAcentral describes it as "partial small subunit ribosomal RNA". The record is from RNAcentral. Lineage: Eukaryota; Viridiplantae; Streptophyta; Magnoliopsida; Poales; Poaceae.
AUGAUAUCCAAAGGUUUAGGAUGGGAGAAUCAUGAGGUUGAAUACGCUCCAAUGCCUCUUGGGUAUCUUGAAUGGGGUACUAAUGUCUUGAAGAAAUAUCAUACCCACCUGAAGGGGAGUGAGGAAGAUGUGGAUUACGUCUAUGGAGCCAUUUAUUGCUCUUUAGGCGACUAUUCUGUCUCCCCUUCUCUUUUAAGGUCUUUAUUGGAGAGAUGGGAUCCCAACACCAAUACGUUUUUGUUCUCAUAUGGCGAGCGUACAGUCACACUUCUUGAUAUGCAUCAGAUCGCGGGGUUGCCCCUUAUGGUGAACCUUAUGAAGAAUAUGUUCCCCUAG